This 22-nucleotide microRNA is filed under the name Gallus gallus (chicken). RNAcentral's name for it is "gga-miR-6644-3p". The record is from miRBase by way of RNAcentral. Lineage: Eukaryota; Metazoa; Chordata; Aves; Galliformes; Phasianidae.
GGGGCUAAGAUGGUACAGCGGA